RNAcentral lists this ribosomal RNA (596 nucleotides) under Hanseniaspora uvarum. RNAcentral describes it as "eukaryotic LSU rRNA". It matches the Rfam family "Eukaryotic large subunit ribosomal RNA", at positions 45 to 655 of the family's 3401-position model. The record is from RNAcentral. Lineage: Eukaryota; Fungi; Ascomycota; Saccharomycetes; Saccharomycodales; Saccharomycodaceae.
GAUGUNCGGAGGAAAAGAAACCAACUGGGAUUACCUUAGUAACGGCGAGUGAAGCGGUAAAAGCUCAAAUUUGAAAUCUGGUACUUUCAGUGCCCGAGUUGUAAUUUGUAGAAUUUGUCUUUGAUUAGGUCCUUGUCUAUGUUCCUUGGAACAGGACGUCAUAGAGGGUGAGAAUCCCGUUUGGCGAGGAUACCUUUUCUCUGUAAGACUUUUUCGAAGAGUCGAGUUGUUUGGGAAUGCAGCUCAAAGUGGGUGGUAAAUUCCAUCUAAAGCUAAAUAUUGGCGAGAGACCGAUAGCGAACAAGUACAGUGAUGGAAAGAUGAAAAGAACUUUGAAAAGAGAGUGAAAAAGUACGUGAAAUUGUUGAAAGGGAAGGGCAUUUGAUCAGACAUGGUGUUUUUUGCAUGCACUCGCCUCUCGUGGGCUUGGGCCUCUCAAAAAUUUCACUGGGCCAACAUCAAUUCUGGCAGCAGGAUAAAUCAUUAAGAAUGUAGCUACUUCGGUAGUGUUAUAGCUUUUUGGAAUACUGUUAGCCGGGAUUGAGGACUGCGCUUCGGCAAGGAUGUUGGCAUAAUGGUUAAAUGCCGCCCGUCUG